This is a long non-coding RNA of Acipenser ruthenus (sterlet), 396 nucleotides long. RefSeq lists it as uncharacterized. Lineage: Eukaryota; Metazoa; Chordata; Actinopteri; Acipenseriformes; Acipenseridae. The transcript is spliced from 3 exons. The record is from RefSeq and is a predicted model, not a curated record.
CAAACCCAUGUGUGGAAUGUGCUUCAUUGAAUAAUUGAUUAUCAAUCAAGUCCCAGCCACAUGGUAUAAAAAGAAGCCAAAUGCUGUGCUUAGGAGAGCUGGUCCAGUGAAGGCGAAUGAGCUUGCGCAAGGAGGAGUGUGGCUCUGUUUUAGUGAAGGCGAGUGCUCAGCCUAAAACAGUAAGACCCCCUGAGUGAAAAUCUGGAAGCAAUUUGUACUACCAAAUGUGUGGAGCUCCAAAGUUUUUGAUUCCUAGUGGAAGUAGCGCUUGUUGAGCCAGGAUGAUAUAGAGCGGCUGGUAAACCUGCAUGCUUCACCCUGAUGCUGUGGAGUGCAUGGAGCUGUCCAGCCUGGACUGAGGAAUACUGCUGCUGCCCUCUCCCCUCUCCCCCUCCC